GAUGAAGAACGUAGCGAAAUGCGAUAAGUAAUGUGAAUUGCAGAAUUCAGUGAAUCAUCGAAUCUUUGAACGCACAUUGCGCCCCCUGGUAUUCCGGGGGGCAUGCCUGUCCGAGCGUCAUUACAACCCUCAAGCUCAGCUAGGUGUUGGGCCCCGCCGCCCCGGCGGGCCCUAAAGUCAGUGGCGGUGCCGUCCGGCUCCGAGCGUAGUAAUUCUUCUCGCUCUGGAGGUCCGGUCGUGUGCUCGCCAGCAACCCCCAAUUUUUUUCAGGUUGACCUCGGAUCAGGUAGGGAUACCCGCUGAACUUAAGCAUAUCAAUAAGCGGAGGA
Molecule: unclassified non-coding RNA, 329 nt
Filed under: soil metagenome
Description: partial contains 5.8S ribosomal RNA, internal transcribed spacer 2, and large subunit ribosomal RNA
Rfam family: 5.8S ribosomal RNA (bases 1-120)
Source: RNAcentral